AAUGAACGCUGGCGGCAGGCCUAACACAUGCAAGUCGAACGGAUCCUUCGGGAUUAGUGGCGGACGGGUGAGUAACGCGUGGGAACAUACCCUUUGGUACGGAAUAGCCUCGGGAAACUGGGAGUAAUACCGUAUGUGGUCGAGAGACGAAAGAUUUAUCGCCAAAGGAUUGGCCCGCGUUGGAUUAGGUAGUUGGUGGGGUAAUGGCCUACCAAGCCGACGAUCCAUAGCUGGUUUGAGAGGAUGAUCAGCCACACUGGGACUGAGACACGGCCCAGACUCCUACGGGAGGCAGCAGUGGGGAAUUUUAGACAAUGGGGGAAACCCUGAUCUAGCCAUGCCGCGUGAUCGAUGAAGGCCUUAGGGUUGUAAGGAUCUUUCAGGUGGGAAGAUAAUGACUGUACCACCAGAAGAAGCCCCGGCUAACUCCGUGCCAGCCGCCGCGGUAA
RNAcentral lists this ribosomal RNA (449 nucleotides) under uncultured bacterium. RNAcentral's name for it is "partial 16S ribosomal RNA". It matches the Rfam family "Bacterial small subunit ribosomal RNA", at positions 29 to 523 of the family's 1533-position model. The record is from RNAcentral.